Molecule: ribosomal RNA, 462 nt
Filed under: Scheffersomyces sp. D_125
Lineage: Eukaryota; Fungi; Ascomycota; Pichiomycetes; Serinales; Debaryomycetaceae
Description: eukaryotic LSU rRNA
Rfam family: Eukaryotic large subunit ribosomal RNA
Source: RNAcentral
CAUUGUCUUAGUAACGGCGAGUGAAGCGACAAAAGCUCAAAUUUGAAAUCUGGCACCUUCGGUGUCCGAGUUGUAAUUUGAAGAAGGUAACUUUGGAGUUGGCUCUUGUCUAUGUUCCUUGGAACACGACGUCACAGAGGGUGAGAAUCCCGUGCGAUGAGAUGUCCAACUCUAUGUAAAGUGCUUUCGAAGAGUCGAGUUGUUUGGGAAUGCAGCUCUAAGUGGGUGGUAAAUUCCAUCUAAAGCUAAAUAUUGGCGAGAGACCGAUAGCGAACAAGUACAGUGAUGGAAAGAUGAAAAGAACUUUGAAAAGAGAGUGAAAAAGUACGUGAAAUUGUUGAAAGGGAAGGGUUUGAGAUCAGACUUGGUAUUUUGUAUGUCUUGCUUUCGGGUGGGGCCUCUGCAGUUUACUGGGCCAGCAUCGGUUUGGACGGUAGGAUAAUGACAUUGGAAUGUGGCACU